Neofelis nebulosa (Clouded leopard) is the source of this 823-nucleotide long non-coding RNA. RefSeq lists it as uncharacterized. NCBI's taxonomy places the organism in Eukaryota, Metazoa, Chordata, Mammalia, Carnivora, Felidae. The record is from RefSeq and is a predicted model, not a curated record. The transcript has 3 exons.
ACCCUGCUCAGUGGUGACAGACAAAAAUGUUUCCAGAUACUGCCAAAUGUUCCCCGGGGAAGUAGCAGCAAAAGGGUCCCCAGUUAAAACCACAAAAUUGUAACAUCACCUCUAAUAUUUAUAUUUAGAUGAAUAACUUAAUUAAGCACUGAGAGCAAACCCUAAAAAAUGUGCAAGUUUAAAGGAAAAGGAAGACUGAAAUCAGGAGCUGAGUGAAGUCCUGAAAAGAGUUCUAGAUGCUGGGAAGUCCAAGAUCAAGGUGCCAGGAGAUUCCAUGUCUGCAAGGAAUCCGCCUCCUGAUUCAUAAGGGCGCCUGGGUGGCUCAGUCGGUUAAACGUCUGACUUCGGCUCAGGUCAUGAUCUCACCAUCCAUGAGUUGGAGCCCUGUGUCAGGCUCUGUGCUGAGAGCUCAGAGCCUGGAGCCUGCUUCACAUUCUGUGUCUCCCCCUCUCUCUGCCCCUCCCCUGCACACUCUCUGUCUCUCAAAAAUGAAUAAACGUUAAAAAAAAAUUUUUAAAUAUUUCUAUUUUAUUUUUUUAAAGUAGUCUCCACAACCAAUGGAGGGGCUUGAACCCACAACCCUGAAUUCAAGAGUCACAUGCUCUACCUACUAAACUAGCCAGGGACCUCUUUCAUUGGUUUCAAUGCUUCCAGGUGUAAUGAUUAGUUAGAAAAUAAUCUGGGGACGCCUGGGUGGCUCAGUCUGUGAAGCUUCAGACUUUGGCUCAGAUCAUGAUCUUGCCAUUCAGUGUUUGAGCCUCACAUCGGGCUCUGUGCUGGCAGCUCAGAGCCUGGAGCCUGUUUCAGAUUCUGUGUCUCCCUA